UACGUAGGGUGCAAGCGUUGUCCGGAAUUAUUGGGCGUAAAGAGCUCGUAGGCGGUUUGUCGCGUCUGCUGUGAAAACCCGAGGCUCAACCUCGGGCCUGCAGUGGGUACGGGCAGACUAGAGUGCGGUAGGGGAGAUUGGAAUUCCUGGUGUAGCGGUGAAAUGCGCAGAUAUCGGGAGGAACACCAGUGGCGAAGGCGGCACUCUGGGCCAGUACUGACGCUGAGGAGCGAAAGCGUGGGGAGCGAACAGG
Molecule: ribosomal RNA, 253 nt
Filed under: uncultured bacterium
Lineage: Bacteria
Description: partial 16S ribosomal RNA
Rfam family: Bacterial small subunit ribosomal RNA
Source: RNAcentral